UUAAAUCGACCGCCUGGGGAGUACGGCCGCAAGGUUAAAACUCAAAUGAAUUGACGGGGGCCCGCACAAGCGGUGGAGCAUGUGGUUUAAUUCGAUGCAACGCGAAGAACCUUACCUACUCUUGACAUCCAGAGAACUUUCCAGAGAUGGAUUGGUGCCUUCGGGAACUCUGAGACAGGUGCUGCAUGGCUGUCGUCAGCUCGUGUUGUGAAAUGUUGGGUUAAGUCCCGCAACGAGCGCAACCCUUAUCCUUUGUUGCCAGCGGUUCGGCCGGGAACUCAAAGGAGACUGCCAGUGAUAAACUGGAGGAAGGUGGGGAUGACGUCAAGUCAUCAUGGCCCUUACGAGUAGGGCUACACACGUGCUACAAUGGCAUAUACAAAGAGAAGCGACCUCGCGAGAGCAAGCGGACCUCAUAAAGUAUGUCGUAGUCCGGAUUGGAGUCUGCAACUCGACUCCAUGAAGUCGGAAUCGCUAGUAAUCGUAGAUCAGAAUGCUACGGUGAAUACGUUCCCGGGCCUUGUACACACCGCCCGUCACACCAUGGGAGUGGGUUGCAAAAGAAGUAGGUAGCUUAACCUUCGGGAGGGCGCUUACCACUUUGUGAUUCAUGACUGGGGUG
RNAcentral lists this ribosomal RNA (622 nucleotides) under uncultured Enterobacteriaceae bacterium. RNAcentral's name for it is "bacterial SSU rRNA". It matches the Rfam family "Bacterial small subunit ribosomal RNA", at positions 860 to 1482 of the family's 1533-position model. The record is from RNAcentral. Lineage: Bacteria; Pseudomonadati; Pseudomonadota; Gammaproteobacteria; Enterobacterales; Enterobacteriaceae.